Long non-coding RNA from Bombus impatiens (common eastern bumble bee), 235 nucleotides. RefSeq lists it as uncharacterized. The transcript has 2 exons. NCBI's taxonomy places the organism in Eukaryota, Metazoa, Arthropoda, Insecta, Hymenoptera, Apidae. The record is from RefSeq and is a predicted model, not a curated record.
AACUAGCAGAGUAGUGAAAAUGAUCGGAUCGUAAUUUUUCACGAUAGUUUUAUACAUAGAUCUAAAAUGAUUUAUUUUGAAGGAUUUCAAUGAUUUUUGAUAAAGUGGUCUUUCUGCGUUAUAUCUAUCUUUAUACAGGGUGGUUGGUAACUGGCAUGUUGAUUUGCUUGGUACGAGUUUUAUACUUUAGCUAUUGGUAGUUCCAGCGUUAAAAAUAUUACGUAUUUGUAAAAAA